Molecule: non-coding RNA, 363 nt
Organism: Heterocephalus glaber (naked mole-rat)
Lineage: Eukaryota; Metazoa; Chordata; Mammalia; Rodentia; Bathyergidae
Source: Rfam
GGAUGUGAGGGCAAUCUGGCUGCGACAUCUGUCACCCCAUUGAUCGCCAGGGCUGAUUUGGCUGAUCUGGCUGUCUAGGCGGGUGUCCCCUUCCUCCCUCACCGCUCCAUGUGCAACCCUCCCGAAGCUGUGUGGUUAGUCGAAGAGGACGACCACCCCCGAUAGAGGAGGACCAUUUCCUCGGUCAAGGGUAUACGAGUAGCUGCGCUCCCUGCUAGAACCUCCAAACAAGCUCUCAAGAUGUGUUCUAUACAUGCACCAACUCCACACAAUGUAAACAUUAUAUACUGCAAAUAUGUAGGAUGAAAAGUAAAAAAGAAAGAACAGACAACAAAGCACUGAGCCAGGUGCAUGCCUGUAAUU